RNAcentral lists this unclassified non-coding RNA (1248 nucleotides) under Hevea brasiliensis (rubber tree). Lineage: Eukaryota; Viridiplantae; Streptophyta; Magnoliopsida; Malpighiales; Euphorbiaceae. The record is from RNAcentral.
GAAAAUUCAAUAACUUGUAAUCAAUAGGGGGGGAGGGGGAGAAGAAAAGGGAGCAAAACAGGGUCCUCUGGUCACUAUUACAGUUGCCAAAGUCUGCUAAAAGAAGGAAAAAAGAGCCAUUGAAUAAUUUGAUUUGCCAGAACCAACCCCUAGACCAUGAGAGAGAAACUCCUAGACAAAAUUUGGGAGGAUUCAUCCCUUGUCCCCAAACUACCCUCCUAUAAACAAUAAAAUACCAAUUCUACCACCUCCUCCCCAACCAUCCGCUCUCUCUAUCCCCCUCGCCUGGUCGCCGUUCUACGCUAUUCAAUAAAGCGGAGCCCGGUUUGGAGUCUUCUUUCUUCGGUUCAUCAAACCAGCCGAUAUUUCAGAUAUCCGUGGGAAUAUUGGCCGGCAAGCCGAUAAACUACUCCUUUUCUUUCUCACAAUUUCAGUUGUAGCAGUGCAAGCAAUUGUCCUGCACCCAACCCCACCAUACCCACCUGAACUAGAAGAUGUCCGGUUUGAGGCAGCCGGUUCAAGCACCGAGUCUGGAGUCAUAAAACCGUCGUCUGAACCCGACUCGGGCAAGGACAAAAACUUGCAAUCAAAGAGGAAACUUGAAAGCCCACCCACACCUUUUGUUCUAACGAUACAAUCGAUCUUGCAGGAAAGAGAGCAGAAGAGAUAAGGGUCUUGUAGACUUCUGUCACAGUUGCCGCAGACAUUGCCGGAGCCUCUGAAUUGUCUUGUUUGCGGCCUCGGGUUUAAAAAUAUCACUUUUGCACUGUUAGUGGUGUAGGAUUGAACAAAAGCGCAGUCGAACAGCUUCUGAGCGUCGCCCAACCUUAUAACGUCGUGAUAUACAUACCUUCUUAUCUGCAAGAGUCGAUGAGAGCUGUGAGGAGACAAGCAGUGAGGGCAGAUACUGAUGCAACAGUCCAAGCAAAAUAUGUUCUUUUCAUUUUUCUUUGCUUCUUCGUGAAUUAUACAAGCGUUGAAGAACUUCUCUGUAAGAAGAACUUGAAGCCAGUAAGGAAGUAGAUGUGAAGAAACCAGCAUGAUUUCUUUUCGUAUUUGAACUUCGAUGAGAGAGACAAGGAGAAUUGGGUGAGGGUUUAUGAAGAUAGUGGUGGAGUAACUAUAAUUGCAGAGAGAAAGAGAGAGGAACGGCGCCUGUCAACUGAUGCUACUCGUGUGGUUUACUGUUACCAAUGAAGAACAGCAGAGACCAUACUAGAGAGUAGAGAGAAAGAGAGAAAGAAAGAG